UUCGUAUUUGCAGAUUUAGAGCAAGAGUAUGCAAAAAUCGAUCUAAGAAUAAAGUGGUUGUCAGAAAAUGUGUAAUUUGCAAAGUUAAUGAAGCCAUACUAAAUACAUAUGGGUCGUUGGCUUGCUUGUACUGUUUGGAUUUCUUCUAUGAUUGCGUAUCCAACUUGGUAGUGUCACAAUGUAUAAAGAAUGGCAAUUGUCCACGUCUUCCUGACGAUUGUAACUUUUGCAAGUUAAAUAGAUGCUACGAUGCCGGAAUGAAGGCGCAACUGAUUGAUUGUGGGGAAACUUACUCAAUUUUGCGCUCUAUUCGUUUCACUCAAUCACCACGAGGAAUCAGGUUCCUGAAGAAGAGAGACAAAAAACAAUUAUUUGAGUGUAUACCUUGCCUUAGAGAUAUGUUUCUCAACACUAUAUUCUCUAUGGAACAGUUUACAUGUUUACCAAUAACAAGAAAACAAUUCCUUCUGUCAAAAGCAAUGAUAAGAGGAAUAAUCAUGGAACUCGUCGAGAUGUGCCUUCAGGUUC
Molecule: long non-coding RNA, 528 nt
Organism: Centruroides sculpturatus (bark scorpion)
Lineage: Eukaryota; Metazoa; Arthropoda; Arachnida; Scorpiones; Buthidae
Exons: 5
Source: RefSeq, a predicted model, not a curated record